Molecule: ribosomal RNA, 347 nt
Filed under: uncultured bacterium
Lineage: Bacteria
Description: partial 16S ribosomal RNA
Rfam family: Bacterial small subunit ribosomal RNA
Source: RNAcentral
CCUACGGGUGGCAGCAGUGAGGAAUAUUGGUCAAUGGGCGCGAGCCUGAACCAGCCAAGUAGCGUGAAGGAUGACUGCCCUACGGGUUGUAAACUUCUUUUAUAAAGGAAGAAAGUGAGGCACGUGUGCCUUGUUGUAUGUACGUUAUGAAUAAGGAUCGGCUAACUCCGUGCCAGCAGCCGCGGUAAUACGGAGGAUCCGAGCGUUAUCCGGAUUUAGUGGGUUGAACGGGAGCGUAGCUGGGUUGUUAAGUCAGUGGUGCAAGUUGGCGGCUCAACCGUAAAAGUGCAAUUGAUACUGGCAGCCUUGAGUACCGUUGCGGUAGGCGGACUUCGUGGUGUAGCGGU